UGCCAGCAGCCGCGGUAAUACGUAGGGUGCAAGCGUUAAUCGGAAUUACUGGGCGUAAAGCGUGCGCAGGCGGUUUUGUAAGACAGGCGUGAAAUCCCCGAGCUCAACUUGGGAAUAGCGCUUGUGACUGCAAGACUAGAGUAUGUCAGAGGGGGGUGGAAUUCCAAGUGUAGCAGUGAAAUGCGUAGAAAUUUGGAAGAACACCGAUGGCGAAGGCAGCCCCCUGGGAUAAUACUGACGCUCAGGCACGAAAGCGUGGGGAGCAAACAGGAUUAGAUA
This 279-nucleotide ribosomal RNA is filed under the name uncultured bacterium. RNAcentral's name for it is "partial 16S ribosomal RNA". It matches the Rfam family "Bacterial small subunit ribosomal RNA", at positions 506 to 784 of the family's 1533-position model. The record is from RNAcentral.